UACAGAGGGUGCAAGCGUUAAUCGGAAUGACUGGGCGUAAAGGGUGCGUAGGUGGUUGCUUAAGUUAGAUGUGAAAGCCCCGGGCUUAACCUGGGAAUUGCACCUAAUACUGAGCAGCUUGAGUAGAAUAGAGGGGAGUGGAAUUUCCGGUGUAGCGGUGGAAUGCGUAGAUAUCGGAAGGAACACCAGUGGCGAAGGCGGCUCCCUGGAUUCAUACUGACACUGAGGCACGAAAGCGUGGGGAGCAAACAGG
Molecule: ribosomal RNA, 253 nt
Filed under: uncultured bacterium
Lineage: Bacteria
Description: partial 16S ribosomal RNA
Rfam family: Bacterial small subunit ribosomal RNA
Source: RNAcentral